Molecule: small nuclear RNA, 107 nt
Filed under: Marmota monax (woodchuck)
Lineage: Eukaryota; Metazoa; Chordata; Mammalia; Rodentia; Sciuridae
Source: RNAcentral
GUGCUCGCUUCGGCAGCACAUACACCAAAAUUGGAACGAAACAGAGAAGAUUAGCAUGGCCCCUGCGCAAGGAUGACACACAAAUUCGUGAAGAAUUCCAUAUUUCU